Molecule: ribosomal RNA, 254 nt
Filed under: uncultured bacterium
Lineage: Bacteria
Description: partial 16S ribosomal RNA
Rfam family: Bacterial small subunit ribosomal RNA
Source: RNAcentral
UACGUAGGGUGCAAGCGUUGUCCGGAAUUAUUGGGCGUAAAGAGCUCGUAGGCGGUCUGUCGCGUCGGCUGUGAAAACCUGGGGCUCAACCCCGGGCCUGCAGUCGAUACGGGCAGACUAGAGUGCGGUAGGGGAGACUGGAAUUCCUGGUGUAGCGGUGAAAUGCGCAGAUAUCAGGAGGAACACCGGUGGCGAAGGCGGGUCUCUGGACCGAUACUGACGCUGGAGGCGCGAAAGCGUGGGGAGCAAACAGG